This 551-nucleotide long non-coding RNA is filed under the name Trifolium pratense (red clover). RNAcentral's name for it is "long non-coding RNA (TPRA_LNC005562)". The record is from RNAcentral. Lineage: Eukaryota; Viridiplantae; Streptophyta; Magnoliopsida; Fabales; Fabaceae.
AGAUUGAAAGCUGUGUAGCUGCAACGAAUAAGCCAACAAAUCAACCAGAUUUUAUCUUUACAAAAUAAGGAAAUUUGUCUAUGUUUUAGGGAUUUGUUAUUCAGUAAUUUCUCUUAUGCAUGACCGUUGUACACACUAAUAUAUAUUUUGACAUUUCUGCCAAUUGAACUAGGAUUUGUGGACGUUGUUCUUAACAUUUUGAAGUCAAAGGGUUUGAUAAGAGUGAUUUUCGUAUAACUUGCAUUAUUUCGUUAAGCGAGCAAAAGGUUUUUGGACUUCAGAGAUAUAUGCGACCCAAAUUCAAAGAGAAUUGCCUAUAAAGAUCAGAUGUCAUGUUGAUCAUCUGAGUAUACUUUAAGCUUUGAAACUUUUCUCAACUGUACUAUUUUAUCUAUCUUAUGUAAGUAGUUUUUUUGAUUUAAUUUGCAUGUGGAAACUUCAUUUUUAUGAAUAAGAUGACUUAAGCUUAUAAUUUGCUAAGUUGAUCAUACUUUUCAUUGGAUCUCUCUGUCUUUACACGAAUUAACAUAUGCACAAUUCUGAAAAUCUGG